GACGAACGCUGGCGGCGUGCCUAAUACAUGCAAGUAGAACGCACAGUUUAUACCGUAGCUUGCUACACCAUAGACUGUGAGUUGCGAACGGGUGAGUAACGCGUAGGUAACCUGCCUGGUAGCGGGGGAUAACUAUUGGAAACGAUAGCUAAUACCGCAUAAUAUUAAUUAUUGCAUGAUAAUUAAUUGAAAGGUGCAAUUGCACCACUACCAGAUGGACCUGCGUUGUAUUAGCUAGUAGGUGAGGUAACGGCUCACCUAGGCGACGAUACAUAGCCGACCUGAGAAGGUGAUCGGCCACACUGGGAAUGAGAAACGGCCCAGACUCCUAAGGGAGGCAGCAGUAGGGAAUCUUCGGCAAAGGACGGAAGGCUGACCGAGCAACGCCGCGGGAGGGAAGAAGGGUCUCGGAUCGUAAAGCUCUGUUGUAAGAGAAGAAAGGGUGUGAGAGUGGAAAGUGCACACUGUGACGGUAUCUUACCAGAAAGGGACGGCUAACUACGUG
RNAcentral lists this ribosomal RNA (505 nucleotides) under uncultured bacterium. RNAcentral describes it as "partial 16S ribosomal RNA". It matches the Rfam family "Bacterial small subunit ribosomal RNA", at positions 28 to 507 of the family's 1533-position model. The record is from RNAcentral.